CGAGGACGAACGCUGGCGGCGUGCUUAACACAUGCAAGUCGAACGGUGAAGGGGAGCUUGCUCCCCGGAUCAGUGGCGAACGGGUGAGUAACACGUGGGCAACCUGCCCCAGACUUCGGGAUAACGCUUCGAAAGAGGUGCUAAUACCGGAUACGAACUCCUUGGGCAUCCCGGGAGUUGGAAAGUUUUUUCGGUCUGGGAUGGGCCCGCGGCCUAUCAGCUUGUUGGUGAGGUAACGGCUCACCAAGGCGACGACGGGUAGCCGGCCUGAGAGGGCGACCGGCCACACUGGGACUGAGACACGGCCCAGACUCCUACGGGAGGCAGCAGUGGGGAAUAUUGCGCAAUGGGCGAAAGCCUGACGCAGCAACGCCGCGUGAGGGAUGACGGCCUUCGGGUUGUAAACCUCUUUCAGCAGGGAAGAAGCGAAAGUGACGGUACCUGCAGAAGAAGCACCGGCUAACUACGUG
RNAcentral lists this ribosomal RNA (470 nucleotides) under uncultured bacterium. Its description in RNAcentral is "bacterial SSU rRNA". It matches the Rfam family "Bacterial small subunit ribosomal RNA", at positions 26 to 507 of the family's 1533-position model. The record is from RNAcentral.